RNAcentral lists this long non-coding RNA (1582 nucleotides) under Pelobates cultripes (western spadefoot toad). Lineage: Eukaryota; Metazoa; Chordata; Amphibia; Anura; Pelobatidae. The record is from RNAcentral.
GUUUCUUCAGGUUUAUUCUUAGUUACGGAUACAUAAAACAACAAAUGAUGUUACAGGAUAAUGGACAUUCAACAGCAGAUGGUAAUUGCUGGACUUCUGAUGGGAGAGUUACAUCGUUGUACAGAGCCAAGCCAAGAGUAGAUUGAGAGCCACCUCGUGUCCCUCUCUUACUAUAAGGAAGUGCCAAUACUAACGUCAGCAUAUAACUCUAGCCAUAUAAGGACAAAACCCCCACAUCCACAUUCCAGAGCUCUCGGACAAAGAAAGCCUUGUGACUUAUUGAUACCAUCUGUUACUUAUGUCAAUCCACACAUCCAUAUAUAAUCAAUAGAAACAUAGAAUAUGCAAUAUUCUACAUUCCCUCUGUUUAUGGUUUGUUUUAAAACCAUAACACAAUGUCACUAACCUGUCCAUUCAUACAUCACUUGUAUCACAUUCAUUGAGCAUAGAACAAGAUGUAGUCACAACUUUCUAUUAUAUGAGAGUUCUUAGAAGGUCGAGUUUCUAUCCCUCAUACUGCUUACUUUACUUCAAAAUCCCUCUGUUUCAGCUAUGUAUUGAUAUCCAUAUCCAUGUUACAUCAUAACUACUUGAACAUAAUAUUUACAUAUAUAUAACAAUAAUAAAUGAAUAAAAUUAAAUAUUUACAAAUGUUGAUCCAAUAAACAAUAAAGCAAUCAGAAAGAUCAACCUGCUCAGGUACAGUCAUAUCUUUGUAGAUAACAAAAUUAAGAUGAUAACUUUCUAAAUAAUAAUAACUGUGUAUCACUACCAUAUUCCUACAGACACAUAUAGCAUAGUAUUUUCAUUCUCAAUACCUGAUAUUACUUAAGUACUAAUACAUGUAUUACUAUAAUAUCCGGUCCAAUUAUAUUUCCAUUAAUCAUAUGGUUUCUAGCAACCUUAACAUCUUUAGGUCAUUUGUAUUCAUGAAUCACAUUCCUAUACCAUUAAUACCACCUAGUGAUGAUUGUAUCAGUACUUUACAAUCAUAGUAUUUAAUUUGUAUAUUCAGUAGGCUCUCACUACCUGAAAUAUACCAACACUACUUAUAAGUCUCAUUCAAAGGAUGUGUUAUCAACCAUGAAGUUCUAUUAUAAUUCUUGAAAUAAUGUUCAUGGUGUUGACAAUACUUAUUGUCCUAGAAAUUCUCCACCCAGAAAUCUUUCUAUCAUAGAUUUGAUUUUGUUUACAUAAUUAUAAUUUUCACUAAAAUUCCACCUUGUAGUUACAAACUUUUCAUUCAAUAGAAACAUAGUUUACUUUAAAAUAACUUGGAAAGAAUACUUUAAAUUCAUUAGCAUCAAUCUCUUCAUUAGCAUUGUGAUGACUUAUUAAUGUAAUACAUCUUAACCCCUUAAGGACGGAGCCAAAUGUACACAUUGUGAACAAAACAAAAUGUAAACAAAACCUGGCAUUUGCGCUACAUGUCUGUCCAACCGUAAUACACCUCUUUCAUAGUAAAUGCACCCACCCUUAUUAUAUAUCAUUUUAUUCAGGGGAAACAGGGCUUUCAUUUAAUAUCAAAUAUUUAGCUAUGAAACAUAAUUUAAUAUGAAAAAAAUGGGAGAAAAUACGAUUU